RNAcentral lists this ribosomal RNA (1161 nucleotides) under uncultured organism. Its description in RNAcentral is "bacterial SSU rRNA". It matches the Rfam family "Bacterial small subunit ribosomal RNA", at positions 47 to 1240 of the family's 1533-position model. The record is from RNAcentral.
CUUAACGCAUGCAAGUCGAGCGAUGAGGCUCCCUUCGGGGGGUACAUCAGCGGCAGACGGGUGAGUAACACGUAUGUAACCUGCCCUCAAGACGGGGAUAACGCCUGGAAACGGGCGCUAAUACCGGAUGACCUUAGUUGGGGAAGCACCGGCUAAGGAAAGGCAAUAGCGCUUGAGGAGGGGCCUGCGGCCCAUCAGUUACUUGGUAGGGUAACGGCCUACCAAGGCGAAGACGGGUACGGGGUGUGAGAGCACGGUCCCCCACACUGGGACUGAGACACGGCCCAGACUCCUACGGGAGGCAGCAGCGGGGAAUAUUGCGCAAUGGACGGAAGUCAGACGCAGCGACGCCGCGUGGGCGAAGAAGGCCUUCGGGUAGUAAAGCCCUUUUCUGUGGGAAGAGGAAGGACGGUACCAUAGGAAUAAGCGUCGGCUAACUACGUGCCAGCAGCCGCGGUAAGACGUAGGACGCGAGCGUUAUCCGGAUUUACUGGGCGUAAAGCGUGUGUAGGCGGCGUGACAAGUUGGGCGUGAAAGCCCCGUGCUCAACGCGGGGAGGCCGCACAAUACUGUCAGGCUAGAGGGCAUCAGAGGGGUGUGGAAUUCCCGGAGUAGCGGUAAAAUGCGCAGAUAUCGGGAGGAACACCGGUGGCGAAAGCGGCACCCUGGGGUGCACCUGACGCUGAGAGACGACAGCUAGGGGAGCGAACAGGAUUAGAGACCCUGGUAGUCCUAGCCGUAAACGAUGGAUGCUAGGUGUGGGAGUGAAGAACUUCUGUGCCGCAGCGAACGCGAUAAGCAUCCCGCCUGGGGAGUACGGCCGCAAGGUUAAAACUCAAACGAAUUGACGGGGACCCGCACAAGCAGCGGAGCGUGUGGUUUAAUUCGAUGCUACACGAAGAACCUUACCUGGGAUUGACAUAUGGGUGGUAGUGAGCCGAAAGGCAAGCGACCCUUCGGGGAGCCUAUACAGGUGCUGCAUGGCUGUCGUCAGCUCGUGCCGUGAGGUGUCGGGUUAAGUCCCGUAACGAGCGCAACCCCUGUCCUUAGUUACAAGUGUCUAAGGGGACUGCCGGCGGGAAGCCGGAGGAAGGUGGGGAUGACGUCAAGUCAGCAUGGCCCUUAUAUCCAGGGCGACACACACGCUACAAUGGUCGGUAC